Molecule: ribosomal RNA, 468 nt
Filed under: uncultured bacterium
Lineage: Bacteria
Description: partial 16S ribosomal RNA
Rfam family: Bacterial small subunit ribosomal RNA
Source: RNAcentral
GACGAACGCUGGCGGCGUGCUUAACACAUGCAAGUCGAACGGAAAGGCCCUGCUUUUGUGGGGUGCUCGAGUGGCGAACGGGUGAGUAACACGUGAGUAACCUGCCCUUGACUUUGGGAUAACUUCAGGAAACUGGGGCUAAUACCGGAUAGGAGCUCCUGCUGCAUGGUGGGGGUUGGAAAGUUUCGGCGGUUGGGGAUGGACUCGCGGCUUAUCAGCUUGUUGGUGGGGUAGUGGCUUACCAAGGCUUUGACGGGUAGCCGGCCUGAGAGGGUGACCGGCCACAUUGGUCCUGCGGUACGGACCAGACUCCUACGGGAGGCAGCAGUGGGGAGUAUUGCACAAUGGGCGGAAGCCUGAUGCGGCGACGCCGCGUGCGGGAUGACGGCCUUCGGGUUGUAAACCGCUUUCGCCUGUGACGAAGCGUGAGUGACGGUAAUGGGUAAAGAAGCACCGGCUAACUACGUG